This is a non-coding RNA of Vicugna pacos (alpaca), 941 nucleotides long. The record is from RefSeq and is a predicted model, not a curated record. NCBI's taxonomy places the organism in Eukaryota, Metazoa, Chordata, Mammalia, Artiodactyla, Camelidae.
UCUUUUUCUCAGCUUAUUGCAUUACCUAGAUUUUAUAGUACAACAGUAAAUUGGAGCAGUGAAAAAUGCUACCCAUGCCUUGUUACAGAUCUUAGUGGGAAAGAAUUCAGUCUUUCACUAGUAAGCCACUGGCCAGGGCAGUGGGCUCAUCUGAAACUGACCUGGAAGGGGAGAUCAGUGGUGGUGGAAAAUCCACUUCCAAGCUCACUCAGGUCAAGCAGUGCAGGAAAAAGCAAGAGAGAGCAUCCAGGAUGGAAGUCACAGUCCUUUCACAAUCCAAUCUCAAGAGUGAUAUCCUUUCAUUUCUAGAAUGCUUUAUUAGAUGCAAAUCAGUUAAGUCCAGUCAACACUCAGAGGAAGAGAAUUACAUAUGACCAUUAAUACCAGAAGGCACUAACCAAGACAGCCAUUUGGGGGCUGCUUUAUAUACUUACCCUUUUAAGGUCUGGAGAAACUGUUCUUUGUGUGUGAUACUCACAAUUUGUGUCUUCUUUCUUAUUUUCUUAGAUAGUGUAAGUAGAGAGUUAGCAACAUUAUUGAUAUUUUCAAAGAUAUAACUUUAGUGUCACUGAUUUUUCUCUACUGUUUUUCUGUUUUGAAUUACAUUGAUAUUUGACUUUAUUACUUUUUUUUCUGUUUAUUUGGGUUUAGUUUGUUCUUUUUACUUGGCUUAUUCUGGUGCAAUACUGGAUAUUAUCUUUAGAAUUUUCUUCUUUUCUAAUGUAAGUUUUAACCCUAUAAUUUUUCCUCUAAGAACUGCUAAUAGGUACAGUUUUGAGGUAUGUUGUAGUUUUUAUUUUCAUUUAGUUCAAAAUGCGUUUUGAUUUCUCUUAAUACUCUUCUAUGACACAUAGGUUUUAUAAAAAUAUAUUAAUAUCUGAAUAUUUGAGGAUUUUUCAGAUAUUUUUCUGCUAUUGAGUUCUACUUUAAUUCUGUUUUAG